GUUAGAGUACAUGGGACAGAGCUUGAAAGUUUUAAUCAUGAUGAUGGUUAUAGUUGGAGAAAAUAUGGGCAAAAAAACAUUUUAGGAGCUAUUCAUCCAAGGGCUUAUUAUAGGUGCACUCACAGGAAUACACAAGGCUGCUUAGCAACAAAACAAGUUCAAAAAUCAGAACAAGAUCCUUUAGUCUUUGAUGUGACAUAUAAAGGAAUGCAUAGUUGCAAAACCU
This 226-nucleotide unclassified non-coding RNA is filed under the name Hevea brasiliensis (rubber tree). Lineage: Eukaryota; Viridiplantae; Streptophyta; Magnoliopsida; Malpighiales; Euphorbiaceae. The record is from RNAcentral.